CCUACGGGAGGCAGCAGUAGGGAAUAUUGCUCAAUGGGGGAAACCCUGAAGCAGCAACGCCGCGUGGAGGAUGAAGGUUUUCGGAUUGUAAACUCCUUUUGUUAGAGAAGAUAAUGACGGUAUCUAACGAAUAAGCACCGGCUAACUCCGUGCCAGCAGCCGCGGUAAUACGGAGGGUGCAAGCGUUACUCGGAAUCACUGGGCGUAAAGAGCGCGUAGGCGGGAUAGCAAGUCAGAUGUGAAAUCCUAUGGCUUAACCGUAGAAUUGCAUUUGAAACUGUUAUUCUAGAGUAUGGGAGAGGUAGGUGGAAUUCUUGGUGUAGGGGUAAAAUGCGUAGAGAUCAAGAGGAAUACUGAUUGCGAAGGCGGCCUGCUAGAACAUAACUGACGCUGAUGCGCGAAAGCGUGGGGAGCAAACAGGAUUAGAUACCCGUGUAGUC
This 440-nucleotide ribosomal RNA is filed under the name uncultured bacterium. RNAcentral's name for it is "partial 16S ribosomal RNA". It matches the Rfam family "Bacterial small subunit ribosomal RNA", at positions 338 to 795 of the family's 1533-position model. The record is from RNAcentral.